Molecule: ribosomal RNA, 776 nt
Filed under: uncultured Neocallimastigales
Lineage: Eukaryota; Fungi; Neocallimastigomycota; Neocallimastigomycetes; Neocallimastigales
Description: partial large subunit ribosomal RNA
Rfam family: Eukaryotic large subunit ribosomal RNA
Source: RNAcentral
CGCAUCUGUGCAUGCAGCAUAUCAAUAAGCGGAGGAAAAGAAACUAACAAGGAUUCCCCUAGUAACGGCGAGUGAAGCGGGAAGAGCUCAAAUUUGAAAUCUUAAAGGGUUUCCCUUUACGAAUUGUAGUUUAAAGAAGUGUUUUCUGUUGAGGUUUUGGUAAAAGUUCUUUGGAAUAGGACAUCAUAGAGGGUGAGAAUCCCGUAUUUGACCAUUAUUUUCAGCUGUGUGAUACACUUUCAAAGAGUCGGAUUGUUUGGGAAUGCAGUCCAAAAUGGGUGGUAAAUUUCAUCUAAAGCUAAAUAUUGGCGAGAGACCGAUAGCGAACAAGUACCGUGAGGGAAAGAUGAAAAGAACUUUGAAAAGAGAGUUAAACAGUACGUGAAAUUGUCAAAAGGGAAGCGUUUGACACCAGUGUUGUUUUUCUGAAAAUCAAUUAAAGGAACUGUUUAUGCUAAGUUGUUUAGACUUUAUCAGCUAACUGUUUAGUUUUGAGCUUUUCUUUAAUGCACUUUUCAGUUAACAAGUCAACAUCAAUUUCCUUUGCUGUAAAAAAGCUUGAGGAAGGUGGCUUGAGAUUCGUCUUAAGUGUUUAUAGCCUCUUGCCUAUGCAGUCGGAGAGACUGAGGUCUGCAGCGUAGAUCCUUCGGGGCUAAAUGCAUUUGUGCUAAGUUAUAGCAUUUUAUAGACAACCUUGUUGACUAUGAUUAGUCUUGUAGCUUACUCGCUUAUGCUAUAUUACCUACGCUUAGGAUGUUGAUCUCUCACAGUCGAGC